This 119-nucleotide ribosomal RNA is filed under the name Salmonella enterica subsp. enterica serovar Dublin. The record is from RNAcentral. Lineage: Bacteria; Pseudomonadati; Pseudomonadota; Gammaproteobacteria; Enterobacterales; Enterobacteriaceae.
UCUGGCGGCAGUAGCGCGGUGGUCCCACCUGACCCCAUGCCGAACUCAGAAGUGAAACGCCGUAGCGCCGAUGGUAGUUGAACGUUGCGCAGCAACGGCCCGUAGGGUGGCGGGCAGGA